Molecule: transfer RNA, 77 nt
Filed under: Candidatus Sumerlaeota bacterium
Lineage: Bacteria; Candidatus Sumerlaeota
Also listed under: 1 other name
Description: tRNA-Arg
Rfam family: tRNA
About the family: Transfer RNA (tRNA) molecules are approximately 80 nucleotides in length. Their secondary structure includes four short double-helical elements and three loops (D, anti-codon, and T loops).
Source: RNAcentral
GCGCCCGUAGCUCAGUUGGAUAGAGCGCUUGCCUCCGGAGCAAGAGAUCAUGGGUUCGAAUCCCGUCGGGCGUACCA